UUCCUGGUGGCCUAGUGGUUAGGAUUCAGCAUUUUCACUGCUGUAGCCUGGGUUCAGUCCCUAGUCUGGAUG
RNAcentral lists this transfer RNA (72 nucleotides) under Sus scrofa (pig). It matches the Rfam family "tRNA". From Rfam's summary of the family: Transfer RNA (tRNA) molecules are approximately 80 nucleotides in length. Their secondary structure includes four short double-helical elements and three loops (D, anti-codon, and T loops). Lineage: Eukaryota; Metazoa; Chordata; Mammalia; Artiodactyla; Suidae. The record is from Rfam by way of RNAcentral.